Cydia splendana is the source of this 887-nucleotide long non-coding RNA. RefSeq lists it as uncharacterized. NCBI's taxonomy places the organism in Eukaryota, Metazoa, Arthropoda, Insecta, Lepidoptera, Tortricidae. The record is from RefSeq and is a predicted model, not a curated record. The transcript has 2 exons.
CACUAUGGUUCGCGUAGAACAAGCUAGCUGGACAAAAGUCACUUUCACAUUCAUUGGAAAUUCUUAUCAAUACUGAUAAACAACACCCUGACGAUAAUGAGUCUACGUCUAAUUAUUGACAUAAUUACUUAAUGAGGGAGUAAUUAAGAUGAGUAUAUAAUGCAUAGUGAUAUUUUUGCAGUAAUCAUUUGCAAAAGUGCGUUUGGAUUGUCAUCUUACUGUGUGUGUAUUAGAAACCUUGUGAAUAAUUUAAGUGUCGAAUAUGGAGCAUAAAGAUGCCGUGUAUGAAGUGUCAAGGAAGGACUUUUUUGAAGAAUGGCUAAAACACCCAAAGUUAACCAGAAAUGAAGAUUUGUUUCGCUUUGUUUUAUCAAGACAUGACUUCAGUGGGGUUGCCGAAGAAUCUAUCAGAAGUAUAAAAAUGAAAAUAGCGAAAAUUUCAGCUAUUAUUGAUGAAAAAUGGAAACACGCAGGAAAAAAACCAGAACGGUUUAAAAAUAAGCACAUAGAGCGGUUACAAGGUGCAGAUUUAUCUUUUGGAGUAUCAAUAAUACCUUGCUCCCCAUCAGGGUCAUCAGAUUGCACUGAAAAACCUGGUCGACCUAAGACAGAUUUUUCAGAUUCGAGCCUUAAAACUAAGCGUCGGCGAGUUAAGCUCUAUUCGUGGUAUUUCAUGCCCGUUACUGUGCAUAAACUGCUUGUGUAUAGUACGGAGGUGAUAAAAUCAGCACUUUUACCUAUUGGGCAGCUAUCUGAAGAAGCUCAAGAAGCUCGUAAUAAAGAUUGUAGGAGAUUUCGUGAGCAUAACACACGAAAACGGUCACGUAUUGCUACGAAUAGAUAUUUACUUAAUAUGUUGUUGAUAACUUCUGACCCUGUUAUUAACA